Molecule: non-coding RNA, 30 nt
Filed under: Mus musculus (house mouse)
Lineage: Eukaryota; Metazoa; Chordata; Mammalia; Rodentia; Muridae
Source: RNAcentral
UGAUAGGUUGAAGGUUCCUCAGCAAGUGCU